UACAGAGGGUGCGAGCGUUAAUCGGAUUUACUGGGCGUAAAGCGUGCGUAGGCGGCUGAUUAAGUCGGAUGUGAAAUCCCUGAGCUUAACUUAGGAAUUGCAUUCGAUACUGGUCAGCUAGAGUAUGGGAGAGGAUGGUAGAAUUCCAGGUGUAGCGGUGAAAUGCGUAGAGAUCUGGAGGAAUACCGAUGGCGAAGGCAGCCAUCUGGCCUAAUACUGACGCUGAGGUACGAAAGCAUGGGGAGCAAACAGGAUUAGAUACCCUGGUAGUCCAUGCCGUAAACGAUGUCUACUAGCCGUUGGGGCCUUUGAGGCUUUAGUGGCGCAGCUAACGCGAUAAGUAGACCGCCUGGGGAGUACGGUCGCAAGACUAAAACUCAAAUGAAUUGACGGGGGCCCGCACAAGCGGUGGAGCAUGUGGUUUAAUUCGAUGCAACGCGAAAAACCUUACCCACCUUUGACAUGUACGGAAGUUGCCAGAGAUGGUUUCGUGCUCGAAAGAGAACCGUAACACAGGUGCUGCAUGGCUGUCGUCAGCUCGUGUCGUGAGAUGUUGGGUUAAGUCCCGCAACGAGCGCAACCCUUGUCAUUAGUUGCUACGAAAGGGCACUCUAAUGAGACUGCCGGUGAUAAACCGGAGGAAGGUGGGGAUGACGUCAAGUCCUCAUGGCCCUUAUAGGUGGGGCUACACACGUCAUACAAUGGCUGGUACAGAGGGUUGCCAACCCGCGAGGGGGAGCUAAUCCCAUAAAACCAGUCGUAGUCCGGAUCGCAGUCUGCAACUCGACUGCGUGAAGUCGGAAUCGCUAGUAAUCGCGGAUCAGAAUGUCGCGGUGAAUACGUUCCCGGGUCU
This 853-nucleotide ribosomal RNA is filed under the name uncultured bacterium. RNAcentral describes it as "bacterial SSU rRNA". It matches the Rfam family "Bacterial small subunit ribosomal RNA", at positions 524 to 1381 of the family's 1533-position model. The record is from RNAcentral.